UACAGGGGGUGCAAACGUUGCUCGGAAUCAUUGGGCGUAAAGCGCACGUAGGCGGUUCGUUAUGUCGGAUGUGAAAGCCCUUGGCUUAACCGAGGAAGUGCAUCCGAAACUGGCGAGCUAGAGUACUAAAGAGGAUCGCGGAAUUCCCGGCGUAGAGGUGAAAUUCGUAGAUAUCGGGAGGAACACCUGUGGCGAAAGCGGCUCACUGGACCGCAACUGACGCUGAGGCGCGAAAGCUAGGGGAGCAAACAGG
Molecule: ribosomal RNA, 253 nt
Filed under: uncultured bacterium
Lineage: Bacteria
Description: partial 16S ribosomal RNA
Rfam family: Bacterial small subunit ribosomal RNA
Source: RNAcentral